RNAcentral lists this ribosomal RNA (373 nucleotides) under uncultured organism. RNAcentral describes it as "partial 16S ribosomal RNA". It matches the Rfam family "Bacterial small subunit ribosomal RNA", at positions 527 to 896 of the family's 1533-position model. The record is from RNAcentral.
GUAGGUGGCAAGCGUUGUCCGGAAUUAUUGGGCGGAAAGCGCGCGCAGGUGGUUCUUUAAGUCUGAUGUGAAAGCCCCCGGGCUCAACCGGGGAGGGUCAUUGGAAACUGGGGAACUUGAGUGCAGGAGAGGAAAGUGGAAUUCCACGUGUAGCGGUGAAAUGCGUAGAUAUGUGGAGGAACACCAGUGGCGAAGGCGACUUUCUGGCCUGUAACUGACACUGAGGCGCGAAAGCGUGGGGAGCAAACAGGAUUAGAUACCCUGGUAGUCCACGCCGUAAACGAUGAGUGCUAAGUGUUGGGGGGUUUCCGCCCCUCAGUGCUGCAGCUAACGCAUUAAGCACUCCGCCUGGGGAGUACGGUCGCAAAGACUG